Long non-coding RNA from Homo sapiens (human), 670 nucleotides. RefSeq lists it as uncharacterized. NCBI's taxonomy places the organism in Eukaryota, Metazoa, Chordata, Mammalia, Primates, Hominidae. The transcript is spliced from 3 exons. The record is from RefSeq and is a predicted model, not a curated record.
GGUUUUUAUUUCGCCAUAGUUUCCUCCUGGACUUUCUCAGCUUUUCCCACCCCAGCGCCAGUGGGAGGGAGGUGGCCUGACAAGUGGGAAGAGGCUGGGGCCAGAGGAAACCAGCAGGAGCUACAGAGUAUAGGCUGAGGCCUUUCCAGGCCCGGAUGUAGAGCCUGCAGCUGGAGGGGCUCGUGUAGGCCAAGGCGUCCCCCUUCCUUCCAGGCCUCCUGCUUCCUCAAGGGAGACUUUGACUUCCUCAGCAAUUCAUCCCCAGGGCCGGAUCCUGCCAGCGCUGGUUCCCGCUCCCCAGGGUUUCCCCGCUGCCUCACUUUCCUCCCACCAUCCCGGCUCAAGAAGAGGACCCAUGACCUUGGAGGCCACACACCUGCUGUUGAGAGUUCUGCUGGUGCUCCUGGCCUCAGGUGAGGGUGAAUCUUACCAUGUUUAUGAUGACGUCCAAAAGGAGAAGACCACUACUACAUACCACUGGGAGAGCCCAUCUCCAACAAAUGAUCCCUGACUUGGAUUUCCUGUUUGCAUUGGUCUGGCUGCAGCACCAGGAGCCACCCUCAUGAACUGUCAAAACCCGGGGGAUUUACCUAGACCUAGAGCUCCAACGUUACUUCUUAUUUUUUGAAACAGAGUCAUUCUGUCACCCAGGCUGGAGUGCAGUGGCAUG